Molecule: transfer RNA, 72 nt
Filed under: Pestalotiopsis fici W106-1
Lineage: Eukaryota; Fungi; Ascomycota; Sordariomycetes; Amphisphaeriales; Sporocadaceae
Description: tRNA-Gln (TTG) (tRNA-Gln-TTG-2-1)
Rfam family: tRNA
About the family: Transfer RNA (tRNA) molecules are approximately 80 nucleotides in length.
Source: RNAcentral
AUUCUGUUAGUGUAGGGGUUAGCACGUGGGAUUUUGAUUCCCGAGUCCCCGGUUCGAAUCCGGGACGGAAUG